AACGUAGGUGGCGAGCGUUAUCCGGAUUUACUGGGCGUAAAGGGUGUGCAGGCGGGCUGUUAAGUGGUGUAUGAAAUCGCCCGGCUCAACCGGGCUAGGUUAUGCCAGACUGGCAGUCUAGAGAGCGAGAGAGGGACGUGGAAUUCCGGGUGUAGUGGUGAAAUGCGUAGAGAUCCGGAGGAACCCCGGAGGCGAAGGCGGCGUCCUGGCUCGCAUCUGACGCUCAGACACGACAGCAUGGGGAGCGAACGGG
This 253-nucleotide ribosomal RNA is filed under the name uncultured bacterium. Its description in RNAcentral is "partial 16S ribosomal RNA". It matches the Rfam family "Bacterial small subunit ribosomal RNA", at positions 524 to 776 of the family's 1533-position model. The record is from RNAcentral.